RNAcentral lists this ribosomal RNA (253 nucleotides) under uncultured bacterium. RNAcentral describes it as "partial 16S ribosomal RNA". It matches the Rfam family "Bacterial small subunit ribosomal RNA", at positions 524 to 776 of the family's 1533-position model. The record is from RNAcentral.
UACAGAGGGGGCGAGCGUUGUUCGGAAUUACUGGGCGUAAAGGGCGCGUAGGUGGCCUGUUAAGUCGAACGUGAAAUCCCCGGGCUCAACCCGGGAACUGCGUCCGAGACUGGCAGGCUCGAAUCCGGGAGAGGGAUGUGGAAUUCCAGGUGUAGCGGUGAAAUGCGUAGAUAUCUGGAGGAACACCGGUGGCGAAGGCGGCAUCCUGGACUGGUAUUGACGCUGAGGCGCGAAAGCCAGGGGAGCAAACGGG